Molecule: ribosomal RNA, 254 nt
Filed under: uncultured bacterium
Lineage: Bacteria
Description: partial 16S ribosomal RNA
Rfam family: Bacterial small subunit ribosomal RNA
Source: RNAcentral
CACGUAGGGUGCGAGCGUUGUCCGGAAUUAUUGGGCGUAAAGAGCUCGUAGGCGGUGUGUCGCGUCGGCCGUGAAAACCUGCAGCUUAACUGUGGGCGUGCGGUCGAUACGGGCAUCACUGGAGUUCGGCAGGGGAGACUGGAAUUCCUGGUGUAGCGGUGAAAUGCGCAGAUAUCAGGAGGAACACCGGUGGCGAAGGCGCCGCUCUGGGCCGACACUGACGCUGAGGAGCGAAAGCGUGGGUAGCAAACAGG